UACAGAGGAGCCAAGCGUUGUCCGGAAUCACUGGGCGUAAAGCGCACGUAGGCGGCUUUUUAAGUCAGGGGUGAGAUCCUGGAGCUCAACUCCAGAACUGCCUUUGAUACUGAGAAGCUUGAGUCCGGGAGAGGUGAGUGGAACUGCGAGUGUAGAGGUGAAAUUCGUAGAUAUUCGCAAGAACACCAGUGGCGAAGGCGGCUCACUGGCCCGGUACUGACGCUGAGGUGCGAAAGCGUGGGGAGCAAACAGG
This 253-nucleotide ribosomal RNA is filed under the name uncultured bacterium. RNAcentral's name for it is "partial 16S ribosomal RNA". It matches the Rfam family "Bacterial small subunit ribosomal RNA", at positions 524 to 776 of the family's 1533-position model. The record is from RNAcentral.